UACCUGGUUGAUUCUGCCAGUAGUCAUAUGCUUGUCUACAAAGAUUAAGCCAUGCAUGUCUAAGUAUAAGCUAAUUUUAUACCGUGAAACUGCGAAUGGCUCAAUUAAAUCUAGUUAUUCGUUUAUUUGAUAGUACCUUACUACUUGGAUAACCGUGGUAAUUCUAGAGCUAAUACAUGCUAAAAGCCCCGACUUCGGAAGGGGUGUAUUUAUUAGAUAAAAAACCAAUGCCCUCCGGGGCUCCUUGGUGAUUCAUAAUAACUUAACGAAUCGCAUGGCCUUGUGCCGGCGAUGGUUCAUUCAAAUUUCUGCCCUAUCAACUUUCGAUGGUAGUAUAUGGGACUACCAUGGUUUCAACGGGUAACGGGGAAUUAGGGUUCUAUUCCGGAGAGGGAGCCUGAGAAACGGCUACCACAUCCAAGGAAGGCAGCAGGCGCGCAAAUUACCCAAUCCCGACACGGGGAGGUAGUGACAAUAAAUACUGAUACAGGGCUCUUUUGGGUCUUGUAAUUGGAAUGAGUACAAUUUAAAUCCCUUAACGAGGAACAAUUGGAGGGCAAGUCUGGUGCCAGCAGCCGCGGUAAUUCCAGCUCCAAUAGCGUAUAUUAAAGUUGUUGCAGUUAAAAAGCUCGUAGUUGAACCUUGGGCCUGGCUGGCC
RNAcentral lists this non-coding RNA (658 nucleotides) under Blumeria hordei DH14. RNAcentral's name for it is "Blumeria graminis f. sp. hordei DH14 Eukaryotic small subunit ribosomal RNA". It matches the Rfam family "Eukaryotic small subunit ribosomal RNA", at positions 1 to 656 of the family's 1831-position model. The record is from Rfam by way of RNAcentral. Lineage: Eukaryota; Fungi; Ascomycota; Leotiomycetes; Helotiales; Erysiphaceae.